This is an RNA transcript of Caenorhabditis elegans, 1867 nucleotides long. It is a transcript of the gene named Non-coding transcript of protein-coding gene irld-45, with no coding region annotated. Lineage: Eukaryota; Metazoa; Nematoda; Chromadorea; Rhabditida; Rhabditidae. The transcript is spliced from 8 exons. The record is from RefSeq and is marked reviewed.
AUUAAACUGAAUCAAUGUAUUAAGCUCAAUUAUGCAACCGAAGGUUCUCUUUUUCUGUAAUUUUAUAUUUUACGUGUCAACUGAAAAUUCUGAACUUUCUGAUGCUUGCGAAGAAAAAUGUCAAUUCAAAGACGAGACGAUCACCUCAAGCUCCAUUAAAAACUGGCCAACUACUUGUGAAUCAGUCUGUGGAAACUUAUAUCUUACUUCAGAAACUGAUCUCUCUGAAAAUCAAUUAAAAGAAACUUUUGGAAAUCUAAAAUAUUUGAUUGGGUCUUUGAAAGUGGUGCACACUAACAUAACGUCUUUGUCGGUUUUGCCAAAACUACAAACUUACUAUUGUGAUGAAGAGGGUCUAAUAAUUGCCCACAACCCAAUGCUUACUGACAUUAAAAUUAUGGAAUACUGGUAUCCAGAAGUGAGACCGUGUAUUUUACAUAUUUACAACAACUCAAAGUUGGACUCCACUCAUCUGUGCGAAAAUUUUUACGUGAUACAACAAGAUUUGGAUGUCUAUGGAAACGCAAGAGAUUGCGGAUGCUCUAACGUUCGGCUUCACCCAAGCUCUCUCCCAUUCUACCGAAACUGUACGAGAAUAACUGGGGGCUUGAGAGGUGUUUUGAAAAUCUCAGAAGUCAGUGAUCAAACCGAUUUGUCAGCGUUAUCAAAUCUGAAAAGCAUUACUGGAAACUUGGAAGUUUAUAACACCGAAUUACAAAAUUUGUCGUUUUUCAAAAAUUUGCAAACUAUUAAUGGGCAAUUAUUUCAAGAGUUUAGUAUUACAAGUAUCCAUGAUAAUCCCAAGUUGACAAGACUGGGACUGGACUCAUUGACGACACUUAUUCCCAUGGAAAAAGGAUUUUCAAUCGCCAUUGCCAAUAAUCAUCCAGAUUUUUGCGUGUCAACCUCCGAAUUUCAACUUUUCACAAAAGUCGGAUUCCACACGGAACAGUUCGAAGCCACGGUCUGCCGUAACUUGGAAAGGAAUGAUGGCCAAAAAGUGUGCUAUUUGGAGAAAUUGAGUACCUUAGAUUCAAACUGCCAACAUAUCAUCGGUGACGUCAUUAUCAACAAUGAUAAUGAGAAUGAUGUCGAAACACUGGAAGAUACAAUAAUGAUUUAUGGAUCUUUGACAAUUGAACAUACUGCGAAUUUGAAGGAUCUGGGCUUUUUCAAAAAUCUCGAACAAGUCGGAACAUUAAGCAAAAGUUUGGGGUUUAACGGUACUCUCAUAAUUUAGGUCGCCUGCGUUUAUCAAACGGAAUUCUUUACACAAAAAUGUAACGUCAGCACAUUGCAAAACCAGUUGAGAAGUCAGCGUCUAAAUUCCCGCAAUUCUUGUAGAUCUUCGUAGAUCAAAUCGACAUUGGGCAGCCUGACACCACGUGAAAUGGGCUACUCACAUGCUGGAAUUUGCUAGUACUUGUAAACAUAAUAGAUAGGAUUAUACAAACGACGAGUACUGGAGGAUUUCCGCCAACGAUAGAUUUUCAGAUAAAGCUCCUGUAAUUCGUUUUCUGUCGAACGAACAGCUUCAGAAUCUGACAUUCCCAAGAAUGAGGUACGCCUCUUUUUCUGUUUUUUCUCUUGAAAAACAGGGUUUCGUCGAAAUUUCUGAUAACUCCCAAACGCUGUUUCAACAUCGCAACGAUUGCAUGCAAUACCAGACGAGGCUCAAAAGUUCUGAAAUUAAAUAUAAUGGGCAUAGUUGCUUGCAAUUGGAACCGGCUCUUGAUUCUCCAGCGGUGGAAAGAUCCGCAAGAUGUGAAAUUGUGAUAAUUUCAAUCCUUGUUAGCUGUCUUGUGCAAAUUUUUUCGUUCUAAACGCAUUAUUUUUUAAUGUUGAGAAAUAAAAGUUUUGAAUUAAA